Molecule: ribosomal RNA, 549 nt
Filed under: uncultured Geobacteraceae bacterium
Lineage: Bacteria; Pseudomonadati; Thermodesulfobacteriota; Desulfuromonadia; Geobacterales; Geobacteraceae
Description: bacterial SSU rRNA
Rfam family: Bacterial small subunit ribosomal RNA
Source: RNAcentral
GGUUUGAUCCUGGCUCAGAACGAACGCUGGCGGCGUGCUUAACACAUGCAAGUCGAACGUGAUCCAGAGCUUGCUCUGGUGAAAGUGGCGCACGGGUGAGUAACGCGUGGAUAACCUGCCCUGGUAUCUGGGAUAACAUCUCGAAAGGGGUGCUAAUACCGGAUAAGCCUACGGUCUCUUCGGAGUCUGCAGGAAAAGGUGGCCUCUAUUUAUAAGCUACCGUAUCAGGAUGAGUCCGCGUACCAUUAGCUAGUUGGUGGGGUAAUGGCCCACCAAGGCUACGAUGGUUAGCUGGUCUGAGAGGAUGAUCAGCCACACUGGAACUGAGACACGGUCCAGACUCCUACGGGAGGCAGCAGUGGGGAAUUUUGCGCAAUGGGGGAAACCCUGACGCAGCAACGCCGCGUGAGUGAUGAAGGCUUUCGGGUCGUAAAGCUCUGUCAGAGGGGAAGAAAUGAAACGUGCUAAUAUCACGUUUUCUUGACGGUACCCUCAAAGGAAGCACCGGCUAACUCCGUGCCAGCAGCCGCGGUAAUACAAGGGCGMMYY